UAGCUCAGUGGUAGAGCGGUCAGCUGUUAACUGACUGGUCGUAGGUUCGAAUCCUAC
This 57-nucleotide transfer RNA is filed under the name Oryza rufipogon (brownbeard rice). It matches the Rfam family "tRNA", at positions 8 to 63 of the family's 71-position model. Rfam says of the family: Transfer RNA (tRNA) molecules are approximately 80 nucleotides in length. Their secondary structure includes four short double-helical elements and three loops (D, anti-codon, and T loops). Lineage: Eukaryota; Viridiplantae; Streptophyta; Magnoliopsida; Poales; Poaceae. The record is from Rfam by way of RNAcentral.